This 418-nucleotide ribosomal RNA is filed under the name uncultured eukaryote. RNAcentral's name for it is "bacterial SSU rRNA". It matches the Rfam family "Eukaryotic small subunit ribosomal RNA", at positions 592 to 1018 of the family's 1831-position model. The record is from RNAcentral.
CAAUAGCGUAUAUUAAAGUUGUUGCAGUUAAAAGCUCGUAGUUGGACUUCUGGGUUGUGAUUGUGGUCCGCCUAACGGUGUGCACUGUGGUUGCGACUCUUCUUCCCGUAGUUUGGGGGUGCACUUAGUUGUGUGCUUUUGGAAUAUGGGACCUUUACUUUGAAAAAUUAGAGUGUUCAAAGCAGGCCUUCGCUUGAAUACAUUAGCAUGGAAUAAUAGAAUAGGACUUUGGUUCUAUUUUGUUGGUUUCUAGGACCGAAGUAAUGAUUAAUAGGGACAGUUGGGGGCGAUUCAUAUUCCAUUGUCAGAGGUGAAAUUCUUGGAUUAACGGAAGAUGAACUUCUGCGAAAGCAUCUGCCAAGGAUGUUUUCAUUGAUCAAGAACGAAAGUUAGGGGAUCGAAGACGAUCAGAUACCAU